ACGUUUCGCAGGACCCUUACAUUUGGUGCGUUGGCCGGGAAAAGCACAUCGCCGGACAAGGAGACCUCCAACGGACUCCUUUAGGGGCUUCUGCUUAGGCACUACCGGCCUCUGACGACCGAUGAACCCCCAGCAUCUUCAAGAGAACAGUUCACUCAGUGCUGAAGCUCACUACCAGGCACGAUGGAAUGCAACGGACAUCAGACAAUGGGAGACAACAAGUUCGGAGAAUCUCAUAAUCUGCCAUCCUGGAUUCAUGAGUCUUCAUGUCCUUCUAAGCUUCCUCAUGGCUCUUGGUCUCUUUUCUGUCAGUCCCCCAGCAUGGAACUUCUGCCAAAAAUUGACCUUUGCUUUAAUCUUUAUCUUCAUUCUGUUUUUAUUUGCUCUGAUUUUCUUCAGGUGCUGGUAACGCCAACUUGGCACCUAUCUGGAAGAACUUACUAAUAAAUGGGUUGCCUGCCACUUAUCUAA
Marmota flaviventris (yellow-bellied marmot) is the source of this 471-nucleotide non-coding RNA. The record is from RefSeq and is a predicted model, not a curated record. Lineage: Eukaryota; Metazoa; Chordata; Mammalia; Rodentia; Sciuridae.